UGGGGAAUAUUGCACAAUGGGGGAAACCCUGAUGCAGCGACGCCGCGUGAACGAAGAAGGUAUUCGUAUCGUAAAGUUCUGUCCUAUGGGAAGAUAAUGACAGUACCAUAGAAGAAAGCUCCGGCUAAAUACGUGCCAGCAGCCGCGUAAUAAGUAUGGAGCGAGCGUUGUCCGGAAUUAUUGGGCGUAAAGGGUACGCAGGCGGUUUAAUAAGUCGAAUGUUAAAGAUCGGGGCUCAACCCCGCAAAGCAUUGGAAACUGAUAAACUUGAGUAGUGGAGAGGAAAGUGGAAUUCCUAGUGUAGUGGUGAAAUACGUAGAUAUUAGGAGGAAUACCAGUAGCGAAGGCGACGUUCUGGACACAAACUGACGCUGAGGUACGAAAGCGUGGGGAGCAAACAGG
RNAcentral lists this ribosomal RNA (402 nucleotides) under bacterium. Its description in RNAcentral is "partial 16S ribosomal RNA". It matches the Rfam family "Bacterial small subunit ribosomal RNA", at positions 355 to 776 of the family's 1533-position model. The record is from RNAcentral.